This 620-nucleotide non-coding RNA is filed under the name Drosophila virilis. Its description in RNAcentral is "Eukaryotic large subunit ribosomal RNA". It matches the Rfam family "Eukaryotic large subunit ribosomal RNA", at positions 1 to 604 of the family's 3401-position model. Lineage: Eukaryota; Metazoa; Arthropoda; Insecta; Diptera; Drosophilidae. The record is from Rfam by way of RNAcentral.
CAACCUCAACUCAUAUGGGACUACCCCCUGAAUUUAAGCAUAUUAAUUAGGGGAGGAAAAGAAACUAACAAGGAUUUUCUUAGUAGCGGCGAGCGAAAAGAAAUCAGUUCAGCACUAAGUCACUUUGUCUAUAUGGCAAAUGUGAGAUGCAGUGUACGGAACAUCAACAUUCUAGUAUGAGAAGUUAACGAUUUAAGUCCUUCUUAAAUGAGGCCAUUUACCCAUAGAGGGUGCCAGGCCCGUAUAACGUUAAUGAUUACUAGAUGGUGUUUCCAAAGAGUCGUGUUGCUUGAUAGUGCAGCACUAAGUGGGUGGUAAACUCCAUCUAAAACUAAAUAUAACCAUGAGACCGAUAGUAAACAAGUACCGUGAGGGAAAGUUGAAAAGAACUCUGAAUAGAGAGUUAAAUAGUACGUGAAACUGCUUAGAGGUUAAGCCCGAUGAACCUGAAUAUCCGUUAUGGAAAAUUCAUCAUUAGAAUUGUAAUAUUUUAAACAAUAUUAUAAUAAUAGUGUGCAUUUUUUCCAUAUAAGGACAUUGUAAUCUAUUAGCAUAAAUAUUUAUCAUAAAAUUAUGUCUGAUUGCUUAUUUGAAUUAUAUGCUUGGCAUUUUAACAUAAA